GGGGGCAUAUCUCAGUGGUAGGGUGCAUGCUUAGCAUGUAUGAGGUGCUGGGUUCAAUCCCCAGUACCUCAU
RNAcentral lists this transfer RNA (72 nucleotides) under Camelus bactrianus (Bactrian camel). It matches the Rfam family "tRNA". Rfam says of the family: Transfer RNA (tRNA) molecules are approximately 80 nucleotides in length. Their secondary structure includes four short double-helical elements and three loops (D, anti-codon, and T loops). Further hydrogen bonds mediate the characteristic L-shaped molecular structure. tRNAs have two regions of fundamental functional importance: the anti-codon, which is responsible for specific mRNA codon recognition, and the 3' end, to which the tRNAs corresponding amino acid is attached (by aminoacyl-tRNA synthetases). tRNAs cope with the degeneracy of the genetic code in two manners: having more than one tRNA (with a specific anti-codon) for a particular amino acid; and 'wobble' base-pairing, i.e. permitting non-standard base-pairing at the 3rd anti-codon position. Lineage: Eukaryota; Metazoa; Chordata; Mammalia; Artiodactyla; Camelidae. The record is from Rfam by way of RNAcentral. RNAcentral also lists the same sequence under 1 other name.